RNAcentral lists this ribosomal RNA (317 nucleotides) under Ditylum brightwellii. Its description in RNAcentral is "partial Bacterial large subunit ribosomal RNA". It matches the Rfam family "Bacterial large subunit ribosomal RNA", at positions 1185 to 1504 of the family's 2925-position model. The record is from RNAcentral. Lineage: Eukaryota; Bacillariophyta; Thalassiosirophyceae; Lithodesmiales; Lithodesmiaceae.
AACAAUUUACCGAAGCUGUGGAUACCUUUAUAGGUAUGGUAGGAGAGCGUUCUAUGUGCGAAGAAGGUGUACCGUGAGGAGUGCUGGAGCGCAUAGAAGUGAGAAUGCCGGUAUGAGUAGCGAAAGACAGGUGAGAAUCCUGUCCACCGUAAGACUAAGGUUUCCAGGGGAAGGCUCGUCCGCCCUGGGUUAGUCGGGACCUAAGGAGAGACCGAAAGGUGUAUCCGAUGGACAACAGGUUGAUAUUCCUGUACCGCCUCUUCACCGUUUGAACGAUGGGGGGACGCAGGAGGAUAGGGAAAGCGCGACACUGGUUG